UACGUAGGGUGCGAGCGUUGUCCGGAAUUAUUGGGCGUAAAGAGCUCGUAGGCGGCUUGUCGCGUCGGUUGUGAAAGCCCGGGGCUUAACCCCGGGUCUGCAGUCGAUACGGGCAGGCUAGAGUGUGGUAGGGGAGAUCGGAAUUCCUGGUGUAGCGGUGAAAUGCGCAGAUAUCAGGAGGAACACCGGUGGCGAAGGCGGAUCUCUGGGCCAUUACUGACGCUGAGGAGCGAAAGCGUGGGGAGCAAACAGG
Molecule: ribosomal RNA, 253 nt
Filed under: uncultured bacterium
Lineage: Bacteria
Description: partial 16S ribosomal RNA
Rfam family: Bacterial small subunit ribosomal RNA
Source: RNAcentral